GAUGAACGCUGGCGGCGUGCUUAACACAUGCAAGUCGAACGAAGCAAUUUAGCGGAAGUUUUCGGAUGGAAGCUAGAUUGACUGAGUGGCGGACGGGUGAGUAACGCGUGGGUAACCUGCCUCACACUGGGGGACAACAGUUAGAAAUGACUGCUAAUACCGCAUAAGCGCACGGGACCGCAUGGUCCAGUGUGAAAAACUCCGGUGGUGUGAGAUGGACCCGCGUUUGAUUAGCUAGUUGGUGGGGUAACGGCCUACCAAGGCGACGAUCAAUAGCCGACCUGAGAGGGUGACCGGCCACAUUGGGACUGAGACACGGCCCAAACUCCUACGGGAGGCAGCAGUGGGGAAUAUUGCACAAUGGGGGAAACCCUGAUGCAGCGACGCCGCGUGAGUGAAGAAGUAUUUCGGUAUGUAAAGCUCUAUCAGCAGGGAAGAAAAUGACGGUACCUGACUAAGAAGCCCCGGCUAACUACGUGCCAGCCGCCGCGGUAA
Molecule: ribosomal RNA, 495 nt
Filed under: uncultured bacterium
Lineage: Bacteria
Description: partial 16S ribosomal RNA
Rfam family: Bacterial small subunit ribosomal RNA
Source: RNAcentral